RNAcentral lists this transfer RNA (84 nucleotides) under Marasmius sp. AFHP31. RNAcentral's name for it is "tRNA-Phe". The record is from RNAcentral. Lineage: Eukaryota; Fungi; Basidiomycota; Agaricomycetes; Agaricales; Marasmiaceae.
GGGGGUAUAGCUCAGCUGGGAGAGCAGCAGACUGAAGUCACUACCACUUUCUGAAGGUCCCGCGUUCGAUCCGCGGUACCCCCA